UAAACAGUAGCCUAUCAAAAAUGUAAUUGGUCUAGGAUGUAAAUAACAUCGAUUGAAGAGUCGCAUGUCCAGCGCUGAAGUCCAGAUGAAGCGCAGGUAGUUCAUUCAUGGAUGUGUUGUGUACUGAUGGGAAGGUUUGAAGCUCGUGUCUAUGCCUCUGCCGUAGCUCUCUUGCUGCCUGGGACGGAUGGGAGUCGCUGCUGACACGAUGACACGCCCUCUUUUCAUGGCCAUCAUGGUUACGUCAUGGAUGUGUAUUCAGGGUCGGUGCUAUUCUAGCGGUUUGGAGAUUGCAGUGAACUGCUCUUAUAUACCUGAUGGCAAAAGUGUUACCUGCACUGUUGAUUACUCAGGCGUAGAGGAACCUGAGAAAUGUCGGGUUAACGCAAG
Molecule: long non-coding RNA, 390 nt
Organism: Clupea harengus (Atlantic herring)
Lineage: Eukaryota; Metazoa; Chordata; Actinopteri; Clupeiformes; Clupeidae
Source: Ensembl